AGUAAGAGGGUUCAUACAAUUCCAAGAAUAUAAAAAUUAAAUACAUAAAACCCGUGUCCCUUUGUUAGGGCUGCAUCCAGCCCUAGUGAAGAGCUUAGGCUUCUAUGCAGUGGUGGACGGCAACAGCAGCACAGCAGCGGGCUCCCAUUGCUUCCUUCUCUUCCUCCGGCGACUCCCCUACGAAUGUGGACUUCAUUAUUUCUUCAUAUGGGAAGUUAUUCCCGAAAUGCCCAAAAUUCUCUCCCUCUUAUUUUUGUGGGAAUUUGGCUGGUAACCCAAGCUUGCUUUCUCCCGGUGAAGCUUCCUCCUUUUAUAGCUGCAAUCUCCCCCUCUCUCCUCCUUCCAAGUCAAGAUAAAGAUGGAUCAACGGCUGCCAACUCCCCCUAGCUCCUCCUUCCGAGUGCAGGAUAAGGAUGAAGACGCGGUGGGUAUCUUGCGGAUGGCUGGAACGAGCUGGGUGCAGGUGAUGCAGAGAAGAUCUUGGAGGUGACGUGGAGAUUGGAGCUCUGUUUCGAAGCAGAGGAAGUCGUGGAAGACACGGGAUGGCACUCACGGCUGAGAGGAUCUCGGCUGAUAGCUGAGAG
This 584-nucleotide long non-coding RNA is filed under the name Phoenix dactylifera (date palm). Its description in RNAcentral is "long non-coding RNA (PDAC_LNC021193)". Lineage: Eukaryota; Viridiplantae; Streptophyta; Magnoliopsida; Arecales; Arecaceae. The record is from RNAcentral.